CGUGCAGGCGGUUCCGUAAGUCGGACGUGAAAGCUCCCGGCUUAACUGGGAGAGGUCGUUCGAUACUGCGGGACUUGAGGUCGGGAGAGGGACGUGGAAUUCCCGGUGUAGUGGUGGAAUGCGUAGAGAUCGGGAGGAACACCAGUGGCGAAGGCGGCGUCCUGGCCCGCACCUGACGCUAAGACGCGAAAGCGUGGGUAGCGAACG
RNAcentral lists this ribosomal RNA (207 nucleotides) under uncultured bacterium. RNAcentral's name for it is "partial 16S ribosomal RNA". It matches the Rfam family "Bacterial small subunit ribosomal RNA", at positions 568 to 774 of the family's 1533-position model. The record is from RNAcentral.